This 451-nucleotide ribosomal RNA is filed under the name uncultured bacterium. Its description in RNAcentral is "partial 16S ribosomal RNA". It matches the Rfam family "Bacterial small subunit ribosomal RNA", at positions 354 to 796 of the family's 1533-position model. The record is from RNAcentral.
GUGGGGAAUAUUGGACAAUGGGGGGAACCCUGAUCCAGCCAUGCCGCGUGUGUGAAGAAGGCCUUUUGGUUGUAAAGCACUUUAAGCGAGGAGGAGGCUACCGAGAUUAAUACUCUUGGAUAGUGGACGUUACUCGCAGAAUAAGCACCGGCUAACUCUGUGCCAGCAGCCGCGGUAAUACAGAGGGUGCAAGCGUUAAUCGGAUUUACUGGGCGUAAAGCGCGCGCAGGUGGCCAAUUAAGUCAAAUGUGAAAUCCCCGAGCUUAACUUGGGAAUUGCAUUCGAUACUGGUUGGCUAGAGUAUGGGAGAGGAUGGUAGAAUUCCAGGUGUAGCGGUGAAAUGCGUAGAGAUCUGGAGGAAUACCGAUGGCGAAGGCAGCCAUCUGGCCUAAUACUGACACUGAGGUGCGAAAGCAUGGGGAGCAAACAGGAUUAGAAACCCUAGUAGUCC